GCGAACCCGCAAGGGUGAGCGGCGGACGGGUUAGUAAUACGAUCGAACGUACCCUGAGGCGGGGGAUAGGCGUGGGAAACUGCGCGUAAUACCCCAUGAUCUCUCCGGAGCAAAGGUUUACCACCUUGGGAUCGGCGAUCGUCCUAUCAGCUAGUUGGCGGGGUAAGGGCCCACCAAGGCUAUGACGGGUAGCAGGUGUGAGAGCACGACCUGCAACAUCGGGACUGAGACACUGCCCGGACUCCUACGGGAGGCUGCAGCGACGAAUCUUCCGCAAUGGGCGCAAGCCUGACGGAGCGACGCCGCGUGUGGGAUGAAGCGCCUUCGGCGUGUAAACCACUGUCAGGGAACAGAAACAAUGAUCGUUCCCAAAGGAAGAGACGGCUAACCCUGUGCCAGCAGCCGCGGUAAUACAGGGGUCUCGAGCGUUAAUCGGAAUUACUGGGCUUAAAGGGUGCGUAGGCCGGCCCGCAAGUGUCUUGUGAAAUCCCCUGGCUCAACCAGGGAAUAGCUCGGCAUACUGCGGGUCUUGAGGAAGGCAGGGGUUGCCAGAACUGUAGGUGGAGCGGUGAAAUGCGUAGAUAUCUACAGGAAUGCCGAUGGUGAAGACGGGCAACUGGGCCUUUCCUGACGCUGAGGCACGAAAGCGUGGGGAGCAAACAGGAUUAGAUACCCUGGUAGUCCACGCCGUAAACGAUGC
RNAcentral lists this ribosomal RNA (700 nucleotides) under uncultured Planctomycetota bacterium. RNAcentral describes it as "bacterial SSU rRNA". It matches the Rfam family "Bacterial small subunit ribosomal RNA", at positions 76 to 812 of the family's 1533-position model. Lineage: Bacteria; Pseudomonadati; Planctomycetota. The record is from RNAcentral.